UUGGAACAGGUACUGAUGCUCACUUUCCAAGCACAUAUCUGAUGCCGCAGACUGUGGAAGAUUAUCUGUCCGAACCUUUUCCUU
Molecule: small nucleolar RNA, 84 nt
Organism: Euleptes europaea (tarantolino)
Lineage: Eukaryota; Metazoa; Chordata; Lepidosauria; Squamata; Sphaerodactylidae
Product: small nucleolar RNA SNORD121A
Exons: 1
Source: RefSeq, a predicted model, not a curated record